AUGCAAAGAACUUUGAAAAGAGAGUUAAAGAGUACCUGAAAUUGCUGAAACGGAAGCGAAGGAAACCAGUGUUGGGCGNUUCAUACUUCCCCCUCCGCUUGCGGGUGGGGCGCUGUGGUCGCCGCUGGCAKGCUUGGUUGUUGCGGCUGGAAGGGCGGCGGGAGAGUUGCUCCUGCCUGUUCCCGCAGUCGCGCCGACCGAGGUUGCCGAAAUGGUUUUCUUUUCCCCGUCUAGAAACACGGACCAAGGAGUCUAACAUAUGUGCGAGUACAGGGGUGGCAAACCCCCGUGCGCAAUGAAAGUGACAGUGGCUGGAGCUUCGGUGCACAGUCCGCCGGCCUCAAUCCCUCGGGAGAACGGUCUGAGUGUGAGCAUACAUGUUGGGACCCGAAAGAUGGUGAACUAUGCCUGAAUAGGGUGAAGCCAGGGGAAACUCUGGUGGAGGCUCGAAGCGAUUCUGACGUGCAAAUCGAUCGUCAAAUUUGGGUAUAGGGGCGAAAGACUAAUCGAACCAUACUAGUAGCUGGUUCCCUCCGAAAUUUCCCUCAGGAUAGCUGCGAUCGGAUAUCAAUUUUAUCA
RNAcentral lists this ribosomal RNA (579 nucleotides) under Fistulifera pelliculosa. RNAcentral describes it as "eukaryotic LSU rRNA". It matches the Rfam family "Eukaryotic large subunit ribosomal RNA", at positions 364 to 1006 of the family's 3401-position model. The record is from RNAcentral. Lineage: Eukaryota; Bacillariophyta; Bacillariophyceae; Naviculales; Stauroneidaceae.